CGGGGCGUAGCGCAGCCUGGUAGCGCACUUGCAUGGGGUGCAAGGUGUCGCAGGUUCGAAUCCUGUCGCCCCGACCA
This 77-nucleotide transfer RNA is filed under the name Deltaproteobacteria bacterium RBG_19FT_COMBO_58_16. Its description in RNAcentral is "tRNA-Pro". It matches the Rfam family "tRNA". From Rfam's summary of the family: Transfer RNA (tRNA) molecules are approximately 80 nucleotides in length. Their secondary structure includes four short double-helical elements and three loops (D, anti-codon, and T loops). Lineage: Bacteria; Deltaproteobacteria. RNAcentral also lists the same sequence under 1 other name. The record is from RNAcentral.